Molecule: long non-coding RNA, 665 nt
Organism: Mytilus trossulus (common blue mussel)
Lineage: Eukaryota; Metazoa; Mollusca; Bivalvia; Mytilida; Mytilidae
Exons: 5
Source: RefSeq, a predicted model, not a curated record
AAAUUAACCCUGCAUUUCAAUGCACUUAAAUUUUUCUGAGUCAUAAACAUGUAUGUUGGGUGUCUGAAAGCAUCAUUCUUUUUUUAUUUGAUGGUCUUAUAAAAUAUUUUGGAAAGUUAAGGUUACAUAGUUACCAAAGCAGGUAACCAGUAAAUAAUCUGGUAAAAAUUUGGUUGUUUACUUCCGGUGCAGGUUACUUUCUUAUAUGCAAUGAAAUGUAGUGUGAAAUUUUCACUGUAGCACUGGAAAGGAUUAAACUUUAUUCAUGCAAAGUAUUUCUUUGGUUGAAAUAAAGUGUUAACCAUGAUGUGACAAGCAUUCUGUUGAAAAAUCUUAUAUGUGAACUGGUCUGCAGAUGACACUUUAGCAUUGAGGCAAAAGAUACCAAGUUUUGAUGAAAAAAGAAGGAAGAAGGAAAAAUGGACCAAAAACAGACCAAAACAGACCUUCAAAUGAACUCUAAAAGUGUUAACCAUGAUGUGACAAGCAUUCUGUUGAAAAAUCUUAUAUGUGAACUGGUCUGCAGAUGACACUUUAGCAUUGAGGCAAAAGAUACCAAGUUUUGAUGAAAAAAGAAGGAAGAAGGAAAAAUGGACCAAAAACAGACCAAAACAGACCUUCAAAUGAACUCUAAAAGGUGCAAUAAAAUUGUAUAUCAUCUUAAA